GAUUCAUAGCUUAUAAAAUUUCUUAUACCAUAAACUGUUUCCACAUGUCAAUUCUAAUUUCGUAUGGAAUCUCUAACCAACUAUUCCAUGGCUCUUUGAAAAAUGGUUUAAUUGCUUCUAUAACCAUAUGCCCGGCGGCAUAUGUUGGAAUGAACCUACAAUAAAAUUAUAUUAAACUAUUAUCUUAGCUUUUAAAAAUUAAGGAAUAACUUAAGGGUUACUUACCCAUCACAAUAAGGGACGAUUUGUAGCCUCCCAAACUUGUCAUAUUCUAAUACCUUUUUAAAUUGCAUAUUCUCAGAAGAAACUGUCGUAGCAUUAGAGGUUGUAUCAUUAUAAAUGAAUGGUGAUGUUGGUAUGUUAGGACCUCCAAUUCUUAAUCCAGAAAGGCUUGGGUGUGGAUGAUGUCGAAGGCACAGAUGAAGAGAUACUAUGCAAACUAUUUUUGGGAUAAAGAGGUGUGGAACUGGUCAGACAAUAGAGGCAUGAAAAAUGUAUUUGGUAGUGAAAUAGUUGAUCUAGGAGGGGAGGAAUAUUUUUAGUAGUUGGUUGAAGAGUUGUGGUAACAGGUGGUGGUGGUGGUGUAUAUUGACCUGCAGCAAGAUUAUCAGGUCCUUUCUUACUUUUCUUACGUCAUCCAUUAGCAUUACCUUUUGAUGUUAUUGAUUUUCUUUACUAACCACCUGAAAAAGAAAGAACAACCAAAGAUUCAGCUGGUGAAAAGUUGUAAAUAGAAGAAAUUGAUAUCCUUACAGAAAAUUCAACUGGCUAAGGGAUCCAAUUGUGUCUGGUAUCAGUCCAGAAUACCCGCAACCAACGAGGAUCCUACAAGGAAGGUAGGAGCAAUUACUCUCUAGAAAUAAAGAAACAAGCUGGUGCAUUAACAACAUUUGAGCAUUAUCAUCAUGUAAUUCCCUUACAGAAUUGAUAAACUCUUCAAACUUCCAAUUGAUUAAGAGAGCGAACCAGUCAAGCCUUUGUUGUAUGAUAGAUCCCUAUAAAGGAAACAUAGAAAUAAAACAGAAUCUAAGAACUUCAACAGUCAAGAAUAAUAGUUGUGCAUACAUUGCAUAAACACAAGCACGACAAGUUUAAUUGUUUAUUUCAUGCAAAGUAGAAAGCUUCAGGUGCUUCAAGAUUACGUAUAAGUAAUGUUUAUUUUGUGAUCAUCUCGCAAAGGUGGCACUGGGAUAACAUAAGGAAUUCAAGUUCAAGCUAGUACUAACCCAAUAAAUUUCUUUUUUCAGUCAUUAAAAUAGAAGGGAGAUGGCAAAGAUGCUUUCAGCAUAUGAGUUAUAAGCCUUACACAAAAAUAAAAAAGUAGUGCUAAGGCUCUGCUCCAUCAUGCCUGUUUAGUUCCACUACUUGAUAAUUUAUCUUUUAUCUUUUAGGGCAUUCUUUAUCGGUACCAGCCAAUCGUUAUUGUUAUCUUCUUUCUUGUAGCUUCUUUUGUUCUUUAGCUUUAGUUUUUUAUUUUGAUUUCGCCGGCUUAGCUUUCCGUUGAAGUAAGGAUAGAGCUGAAAUUUUGUAGUCCACAAAAAAGGUUCAGAACCAAAUCAGAGAACGAUUAAUCUAAACGGAGAAAAAGUAUAUCUAGCACCAAAAAAGAGCUUCAUGCAUCAAGAAAGCAAGAAGGACAGCUCAAGCAGUAGCAAAUGCUCUCAUUAAAGCCCACAGAUAUUUUAACAGCAUGGACAAUUUCGAUUCUCACAGAGGAAAAACACAAAAGGAUCCCUUAUCUUUGAAGAUAGAACUAAUACGAUCUUCUAUGUAUAAUAUGGAGCAGUAAUAGUCCAUCAGAAAAGUAAACGAGUUUGGCAACAUAGUAUAUGAUAGGCUCACACUGUUAGUCAUGUAUUCAAGGACAGUUAUCCUGUUAUUUUUGUGAUCAAACUAACAGCUGAAAAUGGGGUCCUUCAUUUUGAAAAAAGAUUAAAUGUAACAGCCUGUAUAAUCAUUCAAAUAAGCUUGACUAUCAUUCAAAGCAUUUUAUUCAUCUCCAAAAUUGAGGGAGCCUUUUUUGUUCACUUACUCCACAUUUUUUUAAUAGAUGUGCCUAGGUGAUCGGGUCAAUUUCCACACACCUCAAUUAUUUAUUAAUCUCCUAAUGCAUAUUAUCUCCCACUAGCAUAGGUAGCCGAUAACUUUGUUAAACAGAGGGGAAAAAAUCACCCAGCGUUAACUAAAAUCUAAAAAAUGGUCUACAAUGAUUUUCACUCAAUGAACCCUAGGCCAGUCCUGAGAUAUUUACUCUUACAUUUUCUAAUCUGAUACAGCUAUCACUUUUUCCCUUAGCUCAUCACUUGUCACUAAUAUAGCACGGUACAAAUUAGGGUCGAAGGUUAGUUGAUAGUCGAGAGUUGUCUAGUUUCCUAUCAGUUUUGUUAUUGUUACUCUCUUACCAUCUUUUUCCGAUUCUAGUAGUACAUGUUGUUCCUUUUACUUCCAUUAUCAGAUUAUAUGUUGUUGCUACUUGAUCCCUUCUAUUUUUUGACCGCUGCAAUUGAAAAAUAACAAUUGUCAUAAAGUUUUAUCUGUGAAAUUUGGUUAACAAUAAAACUAGUCCCCAAAGGUGAUAACAACUCACUACAUGGAAGGCAUGUCUUAGACUUGAAAAUUACAAAUUGGAUUGCAAAGAGACAGUUCAGCUCCUAAAAGGUCAUGACUUUGUGACUCUCCUAGCCUCUCACAAAAUAAUUGUCCUACCUUUUUUAUCUUUCAGGAUAGAAGAUUCCAUUGACAACCUCUAUUCGUGUCCUUAAAUCGAUUGUAAUCUCCAACAGUAAAACUAAAAAAAAUUAUAGAUAUCCCUUUCCAUUGUAUAGAAUUGCUGUAUCAUAAUGGUAGAUUUCACUUUCGUUACACUCACACAGAAAUUUCUACCAACAGAAAUCCUAUGGUUACAAGCAGUUCAAUAGUCAUCAAGAAAAUAUCUCUAGAAGCGGCGAAUCAAAAUGAGAAAUGGAAUAAAACAGUUACAUGGAUAUAGGACCUUCCACCAUCCGAAAGAUUAGUUUUCACUGCUCUAAGGCGCAUAGCAAAGAUUAAUAUGCAGCAGUGCUUGAAAAUUGCCAUAAGAACUCCAACAGAGGGAUAUGCAACCUGUUAGCAUCUACUAAGCUUGAAGUGAAUAACAGCAGUUCAAGAAUGAGCAGAGAAAAUGAAUAUUUACCCCUGAGAUACCCAAAUCCCCUGAUCAUUGAUACCUCAAUAGUCGAAAACAAACACCCGUCAUCUUGUCUAAUUUGCCUUAAUUCCUCAACCUUCAAACUUACACUUCCAAUAUAACCAAUAAACUCACACCAAGCACUAAUCUUCUGUAAACUACUCAAGUUCUUCUUAUUUUGCAGAAAACAGACUACAUUGCUUUAAAAAAACUAAUUUUUAUCGCUAACUAAUCCUACGACAACAUAAACUUCCAAAUCAACAAGAAAUCCAAUUCUUAUGUGUGCUAACAAGAGCUGACAACAACCCAACCAAAUUGUUCAACAGAUUCCAAUAUUACUCUUCCCUAUUCUCCUCUUCUCCCCCUAGUCCCCCCAAACCUUAUAUAUAAAUGUGUUUGGUACGACGAUAGCUUUUCAUACAUGAUAUUAAAAGCUAGUAAUAUAGUUAUAGUUGUGUCAAAUAAGUGGAUUAACAUUGAAUUUGGACGAGUUAAAAUAGAAUAUCAGUAAAUGGAUACCUCAGUUAUCAAGAUAAAUUGUAGAAUGAAAGACUUGUUGGUGCUUAAGAUAUCUUACAACAGUAGGCCUCUUGCGUGAACCAACUUUUAUUCUUCCACGCAAAUCCUCACAAUCUUCCUGCCAAGAAAACGAGAAAUUCUUACCAAAAAGGAAACAAAUACAAUAUCGAACGAAUGAAACAACACUGUAG
Molecule: long non-coding RNA, 3876 nt
Filed under: Capsicum annuum
Lineage: Eukaryota; Viridiplantae; Streptophyta; Magnoliopsida; Solanales; Solanaceae
Description: long non-coding RNA (CANN_LNC014774)
Source: RNAcentral